Molecule: transfer RNA, 71 nt
Filed under: Alepocephalus tenebrosus (California slickhead)
Lineage: Eukaryota; Metazoa; Chordata; Actinopteri; Alepocephaliformes; Alepocephalidae
Also listed under: 7 other names
Description: tRNA-Ser
Rfam family: tRNA
About the family: Transfer RNA (tRNA) molecules are approximately 80 nucleotides in length. Their secondary structure includes four short double-helical elements and three loops (D, anti-codon, and T loops).
Source: RNAcentral
AAGAAAGUGGCAGAGUGGUUAUGCGACUGGCUUGAAACCAGUACAUGGGGGUUCAAUUCCUCCCUUUCUCG